UCAAAUGCAGCAUUUCUAUCACCUCAACAAACACUAACUGUGUCACAGUGUGUUGCUAGCUAAAGCUCCACUUGCUGUAUUUCACAGGAAGAGAAAAGAAUGAGAGCUAACUUCACUCAGAGAUAUAGAAAGAAAGAGAAAGAAACCAGGCUGUAUUUAAAGACGUCUUGAAAACAAGUUUUAACAAAGUCCUGGAGAAGUGCCCAAUGCUGGAGGACCUCCUGCUUUACCCCUGGCUCAGAUAAACUCCUCUCUGACACAAACACACACGCAUACUGAAUUCACAUCUUGCCAUACAAAUGUGAUACAGUAACCAACUUUCUUUCUUUCAGAAAAAAGAAAAUUGGGAGAUUCAAAAUUUUCCUCACAGUAAUGUUUGCAUCAGUCUAUCAGAUGAAUCCCCUCCAAGUCCAAUAUUUACAUCAGUUACAGUGAUAAUGCUUGGUGUCUACUUUCAGCCACCGCAGUAGAAUGCCAGGAAUGAAUCUCAUUGAAAUUGUAGUUGCAUUUGCUAUUUAAUUUAAUUGUCAUGGAUGAUACACAGACAACCCAACAGCAAACAGAGGAAAACAAUGGGCUUAAAUACACAGAGGGAUAAAUGAGGGAAUAAGACACAGGAUGAGAGCACAGCUGCAGAAAUCACAAACAACAAGACCAUGGGGAAGGAAAACUGAAAACACUAACAUAGUCUAAGGAGCUUAGAAAGAAAACGUCUGGACUUCUUUAAGUUGCUUGAAGACGUUCAAGCAAAGUUUAAGUUCUUUUCAUCCGAGAAGGUGAAACAUCUUCAAGCAACUUCAAGUCCAGACGCUUUCUUUCCAAACUCCUUAGACUACGAUGACCUAGAUGACUGAGAACCUUCACAGACAUGAAAACACUAACAUAGCACACAAGACUAUCAAAGUAAAACAGCAAACAAGAGACUUUUACAAAGACACAGAGUUGACACAGAGACAUGACUGACUGGGGAGAAAUUGGGGAACAUGGAAAGAAGAAUGACUAGACAUGACACGUGGGACACAGGGGCAAGGCAAAGUAACAGAAACCUAAAGCCUAAGAAUAUAACACAAGAAGAAAACAAUAAAGAGAACCAAAA
Oreochromis niloticus (Nile tilapia) is the source of this 1096-nucleotide long non-coding RNA. RefSeq lists it as uncharacterized. Lineage: Eukaryota; Metazoa; Chordata; Actinopteri; Cichliformes; Cichlidae. The record is from RefSeq and is a predicted model, not a curated record. The transcript has 2 exons.